Molecule: ribosomal RNA, 595 nt
Filed under: Erysiphe lespedezae
Lineage: Eukaryota; Fungi; Ascomycota; Leotiomycetes; Helotiales; Erysiphaceae
Description: eukaryotic LSU rRNA
Rfam family: 5.8S ribosomal RNA (bases 225-378)
Source: RNAcentral
AUUACAGAGUGCGAGGCUCAGUCGUGGCGUCUGCUGCGUGCUGGGCCGACCCUCCCACCCGUGUCGAUUUGUAUCUUGUUGCUUUGGCGGGCCGGGCCGCGCCGUCGCUGUCCGCACGGAUAUGCAUCGGCCGCCCACCGGUUUCGACUGGAGCGCGCCCGCCAAAGACCCCAUCAAAACUCAAGUUGUUUUUGUCGUCUUAGCAUUAUUAUGAAAAUUGAUAAAACUUUCAACAACGGAUCUCUUGGCUCUGGCAUCGAUGAAGAACGCAGCGAAAUGCGAUAAGUAAUGUGAAUUGCAGAAUUUAGUGAAUCAUCGAAUCUUUGAACGCACAUUGCGCCCCUUGGUAUUCCGAGGGGCAUGCCUGUUCGAGCGUCAUAACACCCCCCUCCAGCUGCCGUUGUGUGGCUGCGGUGUUGGGGCGCGUCGCGAUGCGGCGGCCCUUAAAGACAGUGGCGGUCCCGGCGUGGGCUCUACGCGUAGUAACUUGCUUCUCGCGACAGAGUGACGACGGUGGCUUGCCAGAACAACCCACGUUUGUCCCAGUCACAUGGGAUUCAUAGGUUGACCUCGAAUCAGGUAGGAAUACCCGCUG